Molecule: ribosomal RNA, 770 nt
Filed under: uncultured bacterium
Lineage: Bacteria
Description: bacterial SSU rRNA
Rfam family: Bacterial small subunit ribosomal RNA
Source: RNAcentral
AGAGUUUGAUCCUGGCUCAGGACGAACGCUGGCGGCGUGCUUAACACAUGCAAGUCGAGCGGAAAGGCCCUUCGGGGUACUCGAGCGGCGAACGGGUGAGUAACACGUGAGUAAUCUGCCCCUAGCUCUGGGAUAGCUCCGGGAAACCGGGAUUAAUACCGGAUAGGACCACCUUAGACAUCUUUUGUGGUGGAAAGAAUUUCGGCUAGGGAUGAGCUCGCGGCCUAUCAGCUUGUUGGUGGGGUAACGGCCUACCAAGGCGACGACGGGUAGCCGGCCUGAGAGGGCGACCGGCCACACUGGGACUAAGACACGGCCCAGACUCCUACGGGAGGCAGCAGUGGGGAAUAUUGCGCAAUGGGCGAAAGCCUGACGCAGCGACGCCGCGUGGGGGAUGAAGGCCUUCGGGUUGUAAACCCCUUUCAGCAGGGACGAAGCGAAAGUGACGGUACCUGCAGAAGAAGCGCCGGCUAACUACGUGCCAGCAGCCGCGGUAACACGUAGGGCGCAAGCGUUGUCCGGAAUUAUUGGGCGUAAAGAGCUCGUAGGCGGUCUGUUGCGUCCGCUGUGAAAACUCGGGGCUUAACCCCGAGCCUGCAGUGGAUACGGGCAGACUAGAGGUAGGUAGGGGAGAAUGGAAUUCCCGGUGUAGCGGUGAAAUGCGCAGAUAUCGGGAGGAACACCGGUGGCGAAGGCGGUUCUCUGGGCCUUACCUGACGCUGAGGAGCGAAAGCGUGGGGAGCGAACAGGAUUAGAUACCCUAGUAGUCC